This 206-nucleotide long non-coding RNA is filed under the name Elaeis guineensis (African oil palm). Its description in RNAcentral is "long non-coding RNA (EGUI_LNC031423)". Lineage: Eukaryota; Viridiplantae; Streptophyta; Magnoliopsida; Arecales; Arecaceae. The record is from RNAcentral.
CAUAGAGUAUAUCAUCGACACCAAUAGUGGUAUACGGUCUCCCUCGAGUGAAAGAAGUUGACACCAAUAACCCCAUUUUUGAUACUAUGACUUGCAGUCCACAAAUAUGGCAUGUUGUUCAUGGUUCUAGGGAUAGGUAUUUUGAAAGAGUAUAGAGAUUAGAUUGCAACCAUUCUAGGUAGUAGAUCUAGUGAUUUUUCAUUCAG